UCCAGACUCCUACGGGAGGCAGCAGUGAGGAAUAUUGGUCAAUGGCCGAGAGGCUGAACCAGCCAAGUCGCGUGAGGGAUGACGGCCCUACGGGUUGUAAACCUCUUUUGCCGGGGAGCAAAAAGCGGUACGUGUACCGCAUCGAGAGUACCCGGAGAAAAAGCAUCGGCUAACUCCGUGCCAGCAGCCGCGGUAAUACGGAGGAUGCGAGCGUUAUCCGGAUUUAUUGGGUUUAAAGGGUGCGUAGGCGGAAUGCCAAGUCAGCGGUAAAAGCGCGGGGCUCAACCUCGCGCCGCCGUUGAAACUGGCGUUCCUGAGUGGGCGAGAAGUAUGCGGAAUGCGUGGUGUAGCGGUGAAAUGCAUAGAUAUCACGCAGAACUCCGAUUGCGAAGGCAGCAUACCGGCGCCCAACUGACGCUGAAGCACGAAAGCGUGGGUAUCGAACAGGAUUAGAUACCCCCGUAU
Molecule: ribosomal RNA, 465 nt
Filed under: uncultured bacterium
Lineage: Bacteria
Description: bacterial SSU rRNA
Rfam family: Bacterial small subunit ribosomal RNA
Source: RNAcentral